GAGCGGCCGUAGCAAUACGGCAGCGGCAGACGGGAGAGUAACACGUGGGAACGCGCCCUUCGGUUCGGAAUAACUCAGGGAAACUUGGGCUAAUACCGGAUACGCCCUUACGGGGAAAGAUUUAUUGCCGAAGGAACGGCCCGCGUCCGAUUAGCUUGUUGGUGAGGUAACGGCUCACCAAGGCGACGAUCGGUAGCUGGUCUGAGAGGAUGACCAGCCUCACUGGGACUGAGACACGGCCCAGACUCCUACGGGAGGCAGCAGUGGGGAAUAUUGGACAAUGGGCGCAAGCCUGAUCCAGCAAUGCCGCGUGAGUGAUGAAGGCCUUCGGGUUGUAAAGCUCUUUCGCCCGCGACGAUGAUGACGGUAGCGGGAGAAGAAGCCCCGGCUAACUUCGUG
Molecule: ribosomal RNA, 399 nt
Filed under: uncultured bacterium
Lineage: Bacteria
Description: bacterial SSU rRNA
Rfam family: Bacterial small subunit ribosomal RNA
Source: RNAcentral